GCGCACCAGUCGAGAAACUUUACAAUGUGCGAAAGCACGAUAAGGGAACUCUGAGUGCCUCCUAAGGAGGCUGUUCAGGUGUCUAAAAGCACCUGAAGGAAGGGCUGGGUAAGACCGGUGCCAGCCGCCGCGGUAACACCGGCAGCCCAAGUGGUAGCCACGUUUAUUGGGUCUAAAGCGUCCGUAGCCGGCUGGGUAAGUUCCUUGGGAAAUUUGGCUGCUUAACAGUCAAGCUUUCAGGGAAUACUGCCCGGCUUGGGACCGGGAGAGGUCAGAGGUACUCCAGGGGUAGGGGUGAAAUCCAUUAAUCCUUGGGGGACCACCGGUAGCGAAGGCGUCUGACCAGACCGGGUCCGACGGUGAGGGACGAAGGCUAGGGGCGCGAACCGGAUUAGAUA
This 398-nucleotide ribosomal RNA is filed under the name uncultured microorganism. RNAcentral's name for it is "bacterial SSU rRNA". It matches the Rfam family "Archaeal small subunit ribosomal RNA", at positions 330 to 735 of the family's 1478-position model. The record is from RNAcentral.